AGAGUUUGAUCCUGGCUCAGGACGAACGUUGGCGGUGCGCUUUAUGCAUGCAAGUCGAGGGAUAUACAUUCGUUCCGUAAGGUUCGGAUGUGGAAACCGGCGAACGGGUGCGUAACACGUGAGAAACCUACCCCCUAGACCGGGAUAGCCCGAGGAAACUCGGAUUAAUACCGGAUACUCUCUUUGGAUCGCAUGAUCCGUUGAGGAAACAGUCCGCUGCUAAGGGAUGGUCUCGCGGCCUAUCAGGUAGUUGGUGAGGUAACGGCUCACCAAGCCUAAGACGGGUAGCUGGUCUGAGAGGACGAUCAGCCACACUGGAACUGAGACACGGUCCAGACUCCUACGGGAGGCAGCAGCAGGGAAUAUUGCACAAUGGGCGAAAGCCUGAUGCAGCGACACCGCGUGCGGGAUGACGGCCUUAGGGUUGUAAACCGCUUUCAGGAGGGAAGAAAAUGACGGUACCUCCAAAAGAAGCUCCGGCCAACUACGUGCCAGCAGCCGCGGUAAUACGUAGGGAGCAAACGUUGUCCGGAUUUAUUGGGCGUAAAGGGCUCGUAGGCGGUUCAACAAGUCGGUCGUGAAAGCUCGGGGCUCAACCCCGAGAUGCCGGUCGAAACUGUUGUGACUAGAGUUCGGUAGAGGUGAGUGGAAUUCUCGGUGUAGCGGUGGAAUGCGCAGAUAUCGAGAGGAACACCAUUA
This 699-nucleotide ribosomal RNA is filed under the name uncultured bacterium. RNAcentral describes it as "bacterial SSU rRNA". It matches the Rfam family "Bacterial small subunit ribosomal RNA", at positions 8 to 714 of the family's 1533-position model. The record is from RNAcentral.